GAAUUCGCCCUUAGAGUUUGAUUCCUGGCUCAGGACGAACGCUGGCGGCGUGCCUAACACAUGCAAGUCGAGCGAAUGAAGUUCCUUCGGGAACGGAUUUAGCGGCGGACGGGUGAGUAACACGUGGGCAACCUGCCUCAUAGAGGGGAAUAGCCUUCCGAAAGGGAGAUUAAUACCGCAUAAGAUUGUAGUACCGCAUGGUACAGCAAUUAAAGGAGCAAUCCGCUAUGAGAUGGGCCCGCGGCGCAUUAGCUAGUUGGUGAGGUAACGGCUCACCAAGGCGACGAUGCGUAGCCGACCUGAGAGGGUGAUCGGCCACAUUGGGACUGAGACACGGCCCAGACUCCUACGGGAGGCAGCAGUGGGGAAUAUUGCACAAUGGGGGAAACCCUGAUGCAGCAACGCCGCGUGAGUGAUGACGGCCUUCGGGUUGUAAAGCUCUGUCUUCAGGGACGAUAAUGACGGUACCUGAGGAGGAAGCCACGGCUAACUACGUGCCAGCAGCCGCGGUAAUACGUAGGUGGCGAGCGUUGUCCGGAUUUACUGGGCGUAAAGGGAGCGUAGGCGGAUUUUUAAGUGAGAUGUGAAAUACUCGGGCUUAACCUGGGUGCUGCAUUUCAAACUGGAAGUCUAGAGUGCAGGAGAGGAGAAGGGAAUUCCUAGUGUAGCGGUGAAAUGCGUAGAGAUAAGGAAGAACACCAGUGGCGAAGGCGCUUCUCUGGACUGUAACUGACGCUGAGGCUCGAAAGCGUGGGGAGCAAACAGGAUUAGAUACCCUGGUAGUCCACGCCGUAAACGAUGAUUACUAGGUGUCGGGGAGUAUAGACUCUUCGGUGCCGCAGCUAACGCAUUAAGUAAUCCACCUGGGGAGUACGUUCGCAAGAAUGAAACUCAAAGGAAUUGACGGGGGCCCGCACAAGCGGAGGAACAUGUGGUUUAAUUCGAUGAUACGCGAGGAACCUUACCUGGGCUCGAACGCAUUCGGAAGGGCACGGAAACGUGUCCGCCAGCGAUGGCCGUUUGCGAGGUGCUGCAUGGUUGUCGUCAGCUCGUGCCGUGAGGUGUCGGGUUAAGUCCCACAACGAGCGCAACCCCUACUGCUAGUUGCCAGCGCGUGAAGGCGGGGACUCUAGCGGAACUGCCGGCGUAAGCCGUGAGGAAGGUGGGGAGGACGUCAAAUCAGCACGGCCCUUAUGUCCAGGGCUACACACGUGUUACAAUGGCCGGUACAGAGGGCAGCCACCCCGCGAGGGGGCGCGAAUCCCGAAAGCCGGUCUCAGUUCGGAUCGGAGUCUGCAACCCGACUCCGUGAAGCUGGAUUCGCUAGUAAUCGCGCAUCAGC
RNAcentral lists this ribosomal RNA (1342 nucleotides) under uncultured bacterium. RNAcentral's name for it is "partial 16S ribosomal RNA". It matches the Rfam family "Bacterial small subunit ribosomal RNA", at positions 1 to 1353 of the family's 1533-position model. The record is from RNAcentral.